This 230-nucleotide unclassified non-coding RNA is filed under the name Hevea brasiliensis (rubber tree). The record is from RNAcentral. Lineage: Eukaryota; Viridiplantae; Streptophyta; Magnoliopsida; Malpighiales; Euphorbiaceae.
GGAAUGGCAGAACGGGGGAUGCUUCCUGAUUUUUUCGCAAAGAGAUCGCGUUAUGGAACCUUUUAUGAUACUUUGAAAUUGUUAAUUGAAUGAAAGUCUAAUGGGUAUGAAUUGACGUAGAUGCUUUUAUUUUAUUGGACCACUAUCCAUUCUUUAUUCGUCGAAAGAGGAGUUUAAACCUAUCUAUUUUUGAUAUCAUUUGUCUACUUUGAAACCAUUACUAUUAUAAU